RNAcentral lists this ribosomal RNA (2930 nucleotides) under Escherichia coli. RNAcentral's name for it is "23S ribosomal RNA". It matches the Rfam family "Bacterial large subunit ribosomal RNA". Lineage: Bacteria; Pseudomonadati; Pseudomonadota; Gammaproteobacteria; Enterobacterales; Enterobacteriaceae. The record is from RNAcentral.
GGGUUGUGAGGUUAAGCGACUAAGCGUACACGGUGGAUGCCCUGGCAGUCAGAGGCGAUGAAGGACGUGCUAAUCUGCGAUAAGCGUCGGUAAGGUGAUAUGAACCGUUAUAACCGGCGAUUUCCGAAUGGGGAAACCCAGUGUGUUUCGACACACUAUCAUUAACUGAAUCCAUAGGUUAAUGAGGCGAACCGGGGGAACUGAAACAUCUAAGUACCCCGAGGAAAAGAAAUCAACCGAGAUUCCCCCAGUAGCGGCGAGCGAACGGGGAGCAGCCCAGAGCCUGAAUCAGUAUGUGUGUUAGUGGAAGCGUCUGGAAAGGCGCGCGAUACAGGGUGACAGCCCCGUACACAAAAAUGCACAUGCUGUGAGCUCGAUGAGUAGGGCGGGACACGUGGUAUCCUGUCUGAAUAUGGGGGGACCAUCCUCCAAGGCUAAAUACUCCUGACUGACCGAUAGUGAACCAGUACCGUGAGGGAAAGGCGAAAAGAACCCCGGCGAGGGGAGUGAAAAAGAACCUGAAACCGUGUACGUACAAGCAGUGGGAGCACGCUUAGGCGUGUGACUGCGUACCUUUUGUAUAAUGGGUCAGCGACUUAUAUUCUGUAGCAAGGUUAACCGAAUAGGGGAGCCGAAGGGAAACCGAGUCUUAACUGGGCGUUAAGUUGCAGGGUAUAGACCCGAAACCCGGUGAUCUAGCCAUGGGCAGGUUGAAGGUUGGGUAACACUAACUGGAGGACCGAACCGACUAAUGUUGAAAAAUUAGCGGAUGACUUGUGGCUGGGGGUGAAAGGCCAAUCAAACCGGGAGAUAGCUGGUUCUCCCCGAAAGCUAUUUAGGUAGCGCCUCGUGAAUUCAUCUCCGGGGGUAGAGCACUGUUUCGGCAAGGGGGUCAUCCCGACUUACCAACCCGAUGCAAACUGCGAAUACCGGAGAAUGUUAUCACGGGAGACACACGGCGGGUGCUAACGUCCGUCGUGAAGAGGGAAACAACCCAGACCGCCAGCUAAGGUCCCAAAGUCAUGGUUAAGUGGGAAACGAUGUGGGAAGGCCCAGACAGCCAGGAUGUUGGCUUAGAAGCAGCCAUCAUUUAAAGAAAGCGUAAUAGCUCACUGGUCGAGUCGGCCUGCGCGGAAGAUGUAACGGGGCUAAACCAUGCACCGAAGCUGCGGCAGCGACACUAUGUGUUGUUGGGUAGGGGAGCGUUCUGUAAGCCUGUGAAGGUGUGCUGUGAGGUAUGCUGGAGGUAUCAGAAGUGCGAAUGCUGACAUAAGUAACGAUAAAGCGGGUGAAAAGCCCGCUCGCCGGAAGACCAAGGGUUCCUGUCCAACGUUAAUCGGGGCAGGGUGAGUCGACCCCUAAGGCGAGGCCGAAAGGCGUAGUCGAUGGGAAACAGGUUAAUAUUCCUGUACUUGGUGUUACUGCGAAGGGGGGACGGAGAAGGCUAUGUUGGCCGGGCGACGGUUGUCCCGGUUUAAGCGUGUAGGCUGGUUUUCCAGGCAAAUCCGGAAAAUCAAGGCUGAGGCGUGAUGACGAGGCACUACGGUGCUGAAGCAACAAAUGCCCUGCUUCCAGGAAAAGCCUCUAAGCAUCAGGUAACAUCAAAUCGUACCCCAAACCGACACAGGUGGUCAGGUAGAGAAUACCAAGGCGCUUGAGAGAACUCGGGUGAAGGAACUAGGCAAAAUGGUGCCGUAACUUCGGGAGAAGGCACGCUGAUAUGUAGGUGAAGUCCCUUGCGGAUGGAGCUGAAAUCAGUCGAAGAUACCAGCUGGCUGCAACUGUUUAUUAAAAACACAGCACUGUGCAAACACGAAAGUGGACGUAUACGGUGUGACGCCUGCCCGGUGCCGGAAGGUUAAUUGAUGGGGUCAGCGCAAGCGAAGCUCUUGAUCGAAGCCCCGGUAAACGGCGGCCGUAACUAUAACGGUCCUAAGGUAGCGAAAUUCCUUGUCGGGUAAGUUCCGACCUGCACGAAUGGCGUAAUGAUGGCCAGGCUGUCUCCACCCGAGACUCAGUGAAAUUGAACUCGCUGUGAAGAUGCAGUGUACCCGCGGCAAGACGGAAAGACCCCGUGAACCUUUACUAUAGCUUGACACUGAACAUUGAGCCUUGAUGUGUAGGAUAGGUGGGAGGCUUUGAAGUGUGGACGCCAGUCUGCAUGGAGCCGACCUUGAAAUACCACCCUUUAAUGUUUGAUGUUCUAACGUUGACCCGUAAUCCGGGUUGCGGACAGUGUCUGGUGGGUAGUUUGACUGGGGCGGUCUCCUCCUAAAGAGUAACGGAGGAGCACGAAGGUUGGCUAAUCCUGGUCGGACAUCAGGAGGUUAGUGCAAUGGCAUAAGCCAGCUUGACUGCGAGCGUGACGGCGCGAGCAGGUGCGAAAGCAGGUCAUAGUGAUCCGGUGGUUCUGAAUGGAAGGGCCAUCGCUCAACGGAUAAAAGGUACUCCGGGGAUAACAGGCUGAUACCGCCCAAGAGUUCAUAUCGACGGCGGUGUUUGGCACCUCGAUGUCGGCUCAUCACAUCCUGGGGCUGAAGUAGGUCCCAAGGGUAUGGCUGUUCGCCAUUUAAAGUGGUACGCGAGCUGGGUUUAGAACGUCGUGAGACAGUUCGGUCCCUAUCUGCCGUGGGCGCUGGAGAACUGAGGGGGGCUGCUCCUAGUACGAGAGGACCGGAGUGGACGCAUCACUGGUGUUCGGGUUGUCAUGCCAAUGGCACUGCCCGGUAGCUAAAUGCGGAAGAGAUAAGUGCUGAAAGCAUCUAAGCACGAAACUUGCCCCGAGAUGAGUUCUCCCUGACCCUUUAAGGGUCCUGAAGGAACGUUGAAGACGACGACGUUGAUAGGCCGGGUGUGUAAGCGCAGCGAUGCGUUGAGCUAACCGGUACUAAUGAACCGUGAGGCUUAACCUUACAACGCCGAAGGUGUUU